RNAcentral lists this ribosomal RNA (253 nucleotides) under uncultured prokaryote. RNAcentral's name for it is "partial 16S ribosomal RNA". It matches the Rfam family "Bacterial small subunit ribosomal RNA", at positions 525 to 777 of the family's 1533-position model. The record is from RNAcentral.
ACGGAGGGUGCAAGCGUUAUCCGGAUUCACUGGGUUUAAAGGGUGCGUAGGAGGGCAGGUAAGUCAGUGGUGAAAUCUCCAAGCUUAACUUGGAAACUGCCGUUGAUACUAUCUGUCUUGAAUAUUGUGGAGGUGAGCGGAAUAUGUCAUGUAGCGGUGAAAUGCUUAGAUAUGACAUAGAACACCGAUAGCGAAGGCAGCUUGCUACACAGUUAUUGACACUGAGGCACGAAAGCGUGGGGAGCAAACAGGA